RNAcentral lists this ribosomal RNA (31 nucleotides) under Bradysia coprophila. Lineage: Eukaryota; Metazoa; Arthropoda; Insecta; Diptera; Sciaridae. The record is from RNAcentral.
CUGUAUGGACCACACAUGGUUGAGGGUCGUU